UUAACGAUUUAUAAGUAUACUCAGACGACACAAUUAUGAAAGAAUUUAAUAAGGCUACUGGCGAGCACUGGCCAGGGGCAUGAAAGCCCCCAGCGGUCCCGAAAGGCGGGCCCGCCAAAGCAACAUGGUAUGUAAACAAAGGGUUGGAGAUCGGGCCUAUAAGACCCUAACUCGGUAAUGAUCCUUCCGCAGGUUCACCUACGGAAA
This 207-nucleotide unclassified non-coding RNA is filed under the name uncultured fungus. Its description in RNAcentral is "sequence contains ITS1". The record is from RNAcentral. Lineage: Eukaryota; Fungi.